RNAcentral lists this ribosomal RNA (440 nucleotides) under uncultured bacterium. RNAcentral's name for it is "bacterial SSU rRNA". It matches the Rfam family "Bacterial small subunit ribosomal RNA", at positions 338 to 771 of the family's 1533-position model. The record is from RNAcentral.
CCUACGGGUGGCAGCAGUCGAGAAUAAUUCGCAAUGGACGAAAGUCUGACGAUGCGACGCCGUGUGAACGAUGAAGGCCUUCGGGUUGUAAAGUUCUGUCGCCUAAGAACAAGGCCGAUAGGAGAAUAUCUUAUUGGUUUGAGUGUACUAGGAGAGGAAGCACCGGCUAACUCCGUGCCAGCAGCUGCGGUAAUACGGAGGGUGCAAGCGUUAGUCGGAAUUACUGGGCGUAAAGGGUGCGUAGGCGGGGAUAUAAGUCAGAUGUGAAAUACUGGAGCUUAACUUCAGGGCUGCAUCUGAAACUGUAUUUCUAGAGGGAUAGCGGGGAAAACGGAAUUCCAUGUGUAGCGGUGAAAUGCGUAGAUAUAUGGAAGAACACCAGUGGCGAAGGCGGUUUUCUAGCUUAACCUGACGCUGAGGCACGAAAGCAAGGGGAGCAA